AGAGUUUGAUCAUGGCUCAGGACGAACGCUGGCGGCGCGCUUAACACAUGCAAGUCGAGCGAUCGACCGGCCUUCGGGCCGGCACGGAGCGGCGAACGGGUGAGUAACACGUGGGUAAUCUGCCCUCGGCUCCGGGAUAACUCCGGGAAACCGGUGCUAAUACCGGAUGGCCUCCGAAGCCCUCGGGCAUCGGAGAAAAGGUAGCUUCGGCCUCCGACCGAGGAUGAGCCCGCGGCCGAUUAGCUUGUUGGUGGGGUAAUGGCCCACCAAGGCGACGAUCGGUAGCUGGUGUGAGAGCAUGACCAGCCACACUGGGACUGAGACACGGCCCAGACUCCUACGGGAGGCAGCAGUGGGGAAUCUUGCGCAAUGGGCGAAAGCCUGACGCAGCGACGCCGCGUGCGGGAAGAAGGCCUUCGGGUUGUAAACCGCUUUCAGGAGGGACGAAGCCACUCGGGUUAAUAGCCCAGAGGGUGACGGUACCUCCAGAAGAAGCCCCGGCUAACUACGUGCCAGCAGCCGCGGUAAUACGUAGGGGGCAAGCGUUGUCCGGAUUUAUUGGGCGUAAAGAGCGUGUAGGCGGCCAGGUAGGUCUGGUGUGAAAACUCGAGGCUCAACCUCGAGAGGUCAUCGGAAACCAUCUGGCUAGAGUCCGGAAGAGGAGAGUGGAAUUCCCGGUGUAGCGGUGAAAUGCGCAGAUAUCGGGAAGAACACCUAUGGCGAAGGCAGCUCUCUGGGACGGUACUGACGCUGAGACGCGAAAGCGUGGGGAGCGAACAGGAUUAGAUACCCCGGUAGUCC
RNAcentral lists this ribosomal RNA (801 nucleotides) under uncultured Actinomycetes bacterium. Its description in RNAcentral is "bacterial SSU rRNA". It matches the Rfam family "Bacterial small subunit ribosomal RNA", at positions 8 to 796 of the family's 1533-position model. The record is from RNAcentral. Lineage: Bacteria; Bacillati; Actinomycetota; Actinomycetes.